Long non-coding RNA from Sapajus apella (tufted capuchin), 1287 nucleotides. RefSeq lists it as uncharacterized. The record is from RefSeq and is a predicted model, not a curated record. The transcript is spliced from 2 exons. NCBI's taxonomy places the organism in Eukaryota, Metazoa, Chordata, Mammalia, Primates, Cebidae.
CUCUAAUUUAAGAAAAAGUUAUAUGUAUGUAUGUAUCUGUGCAUCCAUUGCCACAGUGAGUUUAGAACAUUUUUAUUACCCCAAAAAGAAAAUCUCACACUUCUAAGCCAUUACCUCCCAAGCUGUAGACAACCACAAAUCCAUUUUCUGUCUCUGCAGAUUUGCCUAUCCUAGUCAUUUGACUGAAAUUAAAUCGUUAUAAUACAUGAUCCUUCAUGACUGGCUUGUUUCACUUAGCAUAGUGUUUUUAAGAUUUACCCUUAAUGUCAGAUAUAUCAGUUCUUCAUGUCUUUUUAUUGCCAAGUAAUUUUCCACAGCAUGGAUACACCACAUUUUGUUUAUCCAUUCAUCCGCUUUAAAUGUGACUGAUACAAUAUUGUAGAAAGGUACCAAGAGUGACCCUGGUUUUAUUUUAGCUUCCUAUUGCCAUAGUAACAAAUUGGCACAAAUAUUGUAUCUUUUAAGAAAACACAGAUUUAUUCUGUUCUGAAUUCAGAAGUCCGAAAGUAAGUUUCACUGGACCAAAGUCAAAGUGUUAGCACUACUUGCUUUUCUGGAGGCUCUAGGGGAGAACUUGUUUCUCUUCCUUUUCCAGCUUCUAAAGAAUACCAGCAUUCUUUGACUCAUGGCCCUGUCCUCUAUCUUCAAAUUCCACAGAGUAGCAUAUUGGUUUUAGUCAGGAUUCUGGAGAGAUACAAAAUUAAUAGAAUGGAUAGAGACAGGAUUUAUUAUAAGUAGUUGGCAUGGUAUUGCUAUAAAAAUAGACACACAGAUCAGUGGAACAGAGUAGAGAACCCAGAAACAAAGCCACAUACCUUCAACCAACCAGUAUUCAACAAAGUUGACAAAAAUACACAAUAGGGAGAGGACAGUCUCUGCAAUGAAUGAUGCUGGGAAAAUUGACUAGCCUAUGCAGAGAAAUUAAACUGGACCCCUAUCUCUCACCAUAUGCAAAAGUUAACUCAAGAUGGAUUAAACUCUUAAAUGAAGACCUAAAACUGUAUAAAUGCUGGAAGAGACUGGGUGCGUUGGCUCACGCCUGUAAUCCCAGCACUUUGGGAGGCCUUAGCCGGUGGAUCACAAGAUCAAGACAUUGAAGCCAUACUGGCCAACAUGGUGAAACCCCGUCUAUACGAAAAAUAAAAAAAUUAACUGGGUGUGGUGGCGUGCGCCUGUCGUCCCAGUUACUCUGGAGGCUGAGGCAGGAGAAUCGCUUAAACCCAGGAGGAUGGGGUUUCAAUGAGCCAGGAUUACCACUGCACUGUAGCCUGGCAACAGAGUGAGACU